UACGUAGGUCCCGAGCGUUGUCCGGAUUUAUUGGGCGUAAAGGGAGCGUAGACGGUAAUGUAAGUCUGGAGUGAAAGGCGGGGGCCCAACCCCCGGACUGCUCUGGAAACUAUGUUACUAGAGUGCAGGAGAGGUAAGCGGAAUUCCUAGUGUAGCGGUGAAAUGCGUAGAUAUUAGGAGGAACACCAGUGGCGAAGGCGGCUUACUGGACUGUAACUGACGUUGAGGCUCGAAAGCGUGGGGAGCAAACAGG
RNAcentral lists this ribosomal RNA (253 nucleotides) under uncultured bacterium. RNAcentral describes it as "partial 16S ribosomal RNA". It matches the Rfam family "Bacterial small subunit ribosomal RNA", at positions 524 to 776 of the family's 1533-position model. The record is from RNAcentral.